UAUAAAAAAAUUUUCAAUUAAAAAAAAUUAAGUAAAAGGUUUUUUUGUAUUAAAAAAAAUAUUUUUUAUUAAACUGAAAUAUUUUUAGCAUGUGUAAAAAAUAUGAAAAAAAUUAAUUCUCAAUUGUUUCGCACUUAAUCAUAUUACCUUUAACUUUAAGCGCGCCCAUAACUCAUCCAAAUUAGUUCACAUAAUCGAGUGGCUACUGUUAUUGUUCUAUAAAAACCUUUUCGACUAUGGAUGUACGUACCAUAUUUGCUAAACAAAAAAUACAAAUAAAUCAAGUAAAUGACAAAGAUAACGAAAUAACGAAAAACUUGUUAGUAAUUAUGUAACUGUAAUUACGUAAAUUUUAUAAGUGAAUUUUGUGUCGCAUUUAAAUAUUAAAAUUGCUGUGCAUCGUUGUACGUAGCGCGUAAAAAUAUUAAAAAACAAGAGAAUAUAAUAUAAAUAUAUUUGCAAAAAAACUAAGAAAAAACAUAAAAGUUGUAAAAUGCUUUGGCUUCAACUUUAGCAAUGUUCGCAUAAGUGCAAAAACAAAACUCAAACUACAACAAAAAGCAAAGAAUUGUUUUAAUGAAGAAAAGAAAAAAGAUAUUUGUUAAAAAAAAGUUAUAAAAACGUAGCAUAAAAGUACACUUAUUAAAACCAAUCACCGACUCGUACAUACAGACACAUACAAGUAUUUUUGCAGCGACAAAUUGUUAGCUACCCCUGGCUGAUUAACAUAUGUAAGCUUUGCAUAUUAACAAAGUAUUUAUACUGAGACAUUAACUAUGUACACGACCUUUAUGUAUACAAAAGUAUAAGAAAUAGUAGAUAAUGCGAGGAAAAGCUCGUUAACGUUGACAUAUUUACAUAUAAAACGUAUUGCCUGUUGAAUAAAAGAGUGGCAUAACUCAAAAAAUUACACAUUUCAUUUAUAUAUGGUUAGAUAAAACUAUAAAGGAGUUGAACUACGGACACAUAUAUCAUAACGGUACAUUUUAAAUACUAGUUAUGCAGGAUUAUUUACUUCACUUUCCACUCUGUAGCUGUUUUCGAUUCGCCAAAAGUUAGAAAGUAGCGUAGCGAUCACCUUAACUUAAAAUUUUGACUUGUCAGUCAUUAUGAGGGCUGCUAUAUAUAUUUCUGGCCUAAUAAGGAAAAUAGGAAUAUUUAUCAACGAAAAUGGUUUUAUUGUUUUUCAAAAUAUUCUCCAUCAAGAUUUAUACACUUUUGCAUGCGCUCAAACAAAUUUUCGAAGCACUUUUUUCACUCCGAUUGAGACACCUCCUAAACAUGGUUUUUGAAUGCUUCAACAUCAUCUUCUGGGGACGAAAAUCGUUAGCCACGCAUUAUUUUCGUGAUGUGUAGGAAUAAAAAGAAGUCAUUGGGUGCCAAGUCAGGGCUGUACGGCGGAUGACUCAUCAAUUCGACGUUUUGGAUGUGUGAGAGCUCGCAUUGUCAUGGUGCACAAUGAUUCGUCUUUUCUUGUUCGUUUUUAGAAUUUCUCCGAAGACUUCAGGCAAACAAAUGGUGGUGUACCACUCAGAAUUGACCGUCCUACGCUGCUCAAGCGGAACAGUCGCCACAUGACCAGUUUUGCCGAAGAAACAGGCGACCAUUUGCUUCGAAGUGCUUCUUCCAGGAACAACUUUCGUUGGAUUUGGCUCGUCUUGGAAGACCCACACGGUCGAUUGCUGUUUUGUUUCGGGCUCAUACGCAUAGAUCCAUUAUUCGUCACCUGUGACGAUCUUAUAAACGUCUUUUGAACCACCGCGAUCGUAUUUUUUCAGCAUUUCUUUACACCAAUCCACACGAGCCUUUUUUUGAGCGAUUGUCAAAUUGUGCGGGAUUCAACGAGAACAAAACUUUUUUACGGCCAGGUGUUCAUGCAAUAUCGAAUGUAUGCUGGUGGAAGAAAUGCAUAGGCAUGCCUCUAUCUGAAGGUAUGUUACAUGACGGUCUUGCGUCAGUUAACAUACGGCAUCGAUGUUUUCUGGCACAACGGCUGUUUUUGGACGAUCUUCACGGAAUUCGUCUUUGAGCGAGCGUCGGCCACGAUUGAAUUCGUUGUAACAGUUUUUCACAGUGCUAUAGGACGGUGCUUCAUAGCCAUACAAAGAUUUUAGUUCAUCGAUGCACUCUUGUCGUGAUAAUCCACGUCGAAAGUUGUGAAAAAUGAUCGCACGAAAAUGUUCACGAGUUAAUUCCAUGUCAGAUUGCACCUGGCAACACUUAGUGUUGCCUAGUCCAGAAAUAUAUAUAGCAGCCUCCGUAUAACGUUACACCAUUUGAAUGAAACUUUUCAUACUCUCUUACGUAGUUUUUUCGUCACGCAAUAUUAGCGUACCCAGUAGUGGUGCACCGAAGGUAGCUAGAGUUUAGCAAUUUUAACAUUUUGAGUUGUGACACUCUUCUAGUGAGCAAGCGAUAUGUAGAUUUACAAAAUAAGAAUUGAAAAUUCACAACUAAUAUCAUGAAUACAUACAUAUGUCGUAUAUCUUUCUAUACAAAAACAAAACAAAAAAUGUAAAUCAUUAUAUACACAUCUAUAUAUAGUUCAUAUAUACAUAUUUAUGUGAAUAUUUAUGUAUGUAUGUACAUACAAUAGCUUUGAAAUGUAAAUGAUCACUAAAAUACACUUCACAAAAAAUCAAAAUUUUUGAAUAUUAUAUUUUUGCAUAAUUUGUUGUUUACUUAAUGAAAAUUUAUAUUAGAAGCUAAUUUUAAUAAUUAUUUAAACCAAAAGCGUAUUUAAGUGUUAAAUUAAUUGAUAUUUUCGUAUAGAAGAACUAAGGAGCUAUACUAUAUAUAAAGCUAGCACAGCUUAUGUUGUAUUCAAAAAUAUUUUUUUUAAAACAAGGGCUGUUGUCAGUUUACUUAAAUUGAUAUUUGAAUGUCAUUAACAUUUUGAUGCGUUUCUUGCGUUGGCGGAAUGCUGCUUUUCUGAGGUGCAUAAGUUUUUUCAAUUUUGUUUUAAUUGUUUAAGGUCGCAAAUAUUAUAUAAAUUCUAGAUUAGCUUUUAUAGUAAUAGCAAUAUAAUUUAUUUUAAUUUAAUAUUAUUUAUUUUAAUUAUAUUAAAUAUAUUAAAAAAAAAAUAUUUUGUUUAAAAUCAUAUUGAAUUUUAAUCCAUUUAUAAUUCAUUCUGUAUAUAUUUCUUAAACAAGAAUAUUUAUUUUUAAAGUGUGUAUGCUUUACGUUUUUAAGUGAUUAGGCCAGUCUAGCGCUUUAAGAAAGGCAUAACUUUGAUUAGACCUCCGUAAGCCAUAGGUAUACCAAAGGUUUAUUAUGAGUUAAAACUCUACCAUAUCCUAAAAUAAAAUAUAACUCCUUACUUAUAAAAUUCUUUUGUUUUGGAGAUAUGCUUAUGCCAUACAGUAUACUCUAUUUUUUUAGGUUUUGCACGAAUUUAUUUUUUUUAAACAAUAAAAGUUUUAAAGGUAUAUAACCAUUAACUAAUUGGUAUAUAACCGGUAAAAAAUGGGUAUAUAACCACUAACUAAUUGGUAUGUAACCAGUGACAAAUGAGUAUAUAACCACUAAUUAAUUGGUAUAUAACCAGUAACAAAUGGGUAUAUAACCACUAACAAAAUCGGUACAUAACCAUUAACUGCUAACUAAUUGGUAUAUAACCACUUGCUAAUCGGUAUUUAACAACUAAUUAAUUGGUAUAUAACCCUUAAAUACUCGGUAUAUAACCACAACACUAACUCUUUGAUUACAAUUGAUUAGUUGAUUUGGUUGAUGAUUUGUGAAAGCACUAACCAACACGCUGCACUCAAACUUUUUCUUCAUAAAGUACCAGCAAACUUUUGAAUUCUUCUUAAUUUCCAACAUUAUAACAUAUUUCUGGCAGGUGCCGUUAAUUUUAGAAGUUUCCGUUAUUUCAUAAAGAUUAAAAAUGACAACGAUGAUAACUUUUACUACACAAAUUAUUAUAUUUGUGUACUCUACUGUUUAUCACGUUAUUGACAACAUAGUAACUUCCAAGAAUUGCCUGACAAUUAACGUAAAUAAACCGCUACAUAUGUACAUACAUAUAUACUCGUUUAUCAUACGAAAAUAAGAACUUCAAACAGUUAUUAUUGUUAUAAUACCUACAAACACACAUAAAAGAUAUUUUAUACCGCUCAGUAUUUCGUUAAGCAGUUUAAGCAUGAAAGCUCUUACGAUUGUACGAGUUUUCAAGUUCUUAAUUCCAACUGAUUCAAGUUUGGAGGAAAAGCUGUAAAGGUAUAUUAAUUUGAUAACUUUUUCCACUACAUUCCGUAGGUUUUUUUAACAAUUGUUUAUGAAAGCUUUCACUUAUUAUUUAUUACUUACGGGUUAAUUGAGUAGAAAGCAAAAAAGGCAGAAAGCUUUUAAGGGCAAAUUAAGUGUUCCAUUGAAAUUUCACACUUUUUAUUGCAAAAGUUAGAAGCGUUAUAGAAUUUAAAGCUUUCAUUAGACUGGGUGAUAUUUUUUCCGAUAUAUUCGGUGGUUUCUUUUAAAAAUGGUUUAUGAAAGCUGUUACUAAGCAAAUAAGGUAUUCCAUUAUAACUUCACGUAUUGAAUGGCAAAAGUUUUGUAAAGCUUUAAAAAGCUUAAAAAUGAAGGCUUUCACUAGCCUGGAAAAUAAACGUAAAACUUCAUUAUUUUAUGGCAAAAGUUUUGAAAAGCUUUGAAUGAGAAUGAAGGCUUUCGCUAGGCUCGAAAAUAUGCUGUAAAACUUGACAUAUUUUCUGGCAAAAAUUUUAGAACGCUUUGAAAAGCUUACAAGCGAGAUAAAAAUGAAAGCUUUCGCUAGUCUCGAAACAAAGCUGUGAAAGCACAUUAAGUUUACAACUUUUUUCUGAUAUAUUCGAAAAGCUUUUUAAAAUUCGUCUAUGAAAGCUUUCACUAAGCUAAAUCGUGAAAGCUUUUCAUUUUUAUAAACGUUUAUAAUUUUUAGUUUCUUAGCACUUUUAAAGUCGUUUAACGUGCUGUUUUCAAUAUUGAUUAUUUAUUUUAGAACAUAAAUAUAAAUAUCCUCGAAACAUUAAAGUAUUCUUCCUUUAUUUUAGGGCCGAAAUCUUUUCAACUAUUUUUCAAUGUCGUUAUGCUCUAUUUUCUUCGUAUUUUAUUUAUUUAUUGUCAAAACAUAUUUAAAGCAAUAAUUUCACACUAAUCGUAGUUUAAAUUAUACAUAUGCAUAUGUACAUACUUACCUAAAUAAGUAUGUGUACAUACAACUGUAGUUUCUUGUAUUUACUUGUAGUAGAUGUGCGUUCCAACAUUAGAUCAAAUAUACAUACAUACAUAUAUUUAUAAAAGAAAAUUUAAUGCGAAAGAAAGUACAGCCAAAACUAAACAAGAAAUAAUACCCACUACGAAAUCCCCAAAAAGUGACUAUUUAGUAACAAUACUGAUAAAAAGAAUAGCAAACUUAAAAACAACAACAAACAAAUACAUAAAUGAAUUAUAUAAUAUAUACAUUUAUAAAUAAAUACAAAAUAUAACUGGGCGUCAAGUACUAUAGUAAAUUAUAUGAAAUUGUAAAUUUUUCGCUGAAUGACAAGUACUCACGCAUACAUUUAUAAAUAUUUUAGUAUUGUAAAAUUAUACUUGUUCAGUUGAUAUUAUUAUUGCAUAUAUGAGAAUAAAGAAUAUACAUAUAAAAGAUAAAUUGGUGAAAUUAAAAAAAAAAAUAA
Molecule: long non-coding RNA, 5654 nt
Organism: Bactrocera dorsalis (oriental fruit fly)
Lineage: Eukaryota; Metazoa; Arthropoda; Insecta; Diptera; Tephritidae
Exons: 2
Source: RefSeq, a predicted model, not a curated record